AAGAGUUUGAAGACUAGGAGACUAGUUGAUCUCUCACCCAUGAAUUCUUUACUUGUUGCUUCGGCAGUCUUUGCGGAGUGGUCGGAAACGACUACGAAGUGAGCGCUGCCAAAGUGAUAAACUACUUUGUUUUUGCAGUCUGAGAAUACAUUCAAAUUAUGAA
RNAcentral lists this unclassified non-coding RNA (163 nucleotides) under uncultured fungus. RNAcentral describes it as "sequence contains ITS1, 5.8S rRNA gene". The record is from RNAcentral. Lineage: Eukaryota; Fungi.